ACGCCUAUACCAACCACAAUGAUGGAGGCUGGAUCGUCGACUCUGGAGCAACUGCGCACAUGUCUGGUACGCCUGGAUCUCAAAACCCAGGCCCUGAUCGCACGACAUGAUAGCACUGGCGAUCUCUAUCCAUUCCAUGAAGCCAUGACAACCAACUCUGCAUCGGCGUUCCUCGCUAGUGUCAACCUUUGGCACCGUCGCUUAGGCCAUCCCAAUUCACAGACUGUAUCUAGUUUACUUCAGCAUUUUCAAAUUCCCUGUAGAAAAGACUCUCAUGACCCAGCGCUCUGCGAAGCCUGUCAGAGAGGAAAGCAUGUACGUUUGCCAUUUCAUCUAUCAAAGACAUCUACCUUUACACCAUUUGAGCUUUUACAUUGU
This 378-nucleotide ribosomal RNA is filed under the name Triticum aestivum (bread wheat). RNAcentral describes it as "partial small subunit ribosomal RNA". The record is from RNAcentral. Lineage: Eukaryota; Viridiplantae; Streptophyta; Magnoliopsida; Poales; Poaceae.